Molecule: ribosomal RNA, 1394 nt
Filed under: Enterococcus hirae
Lineage: Bacteria; Bacillati; Bacillota; Bacilli; Lactobacillales; Enterococcaceae
Description: bacterial SSU rRNA
Rfam family: Bacterial small subunit ribosomal RNA
Source: RNAcentral
CACGUCUCAGGACGAACGCUGGCGGCGUGCCUAAUACAUGCAAGUCGAACGCUUCUUUUUCCACCGGAGCUUGCUCCACCGGAAAAAGAGGAGUGGCGAACGGGUGAGUAACACGUGGGUAACCUGCCCAUCAGAAGGGGAUAACACUUGGAAACAGGUGCUAAUACCGUAUAACAAUCGAAACCGCAUGGUUUUGAUUUGAAAGGCGCUUUCGGGUGUCGCUGAUGGAUGGACCCGCGGUGCAUUAGCUAGUUGGUGAGGUAACGGCUCACCAAGGCGACGAUGCAUAGCCGACCUGAGAGGGUGAUCGGCCACAUUGGGACUGAGACACGGCCCAAACUCCUACGGGAGGCAGCAGUAGGGAAUCUUCGGCAAUGGACGAAAGUCUGACCGAGCAACGCCGCGUGAGUGAAGAAGGUUUUCGGAUCGUAAAACUCUGUUGUUAGAGAAGAACAAGGAUGAGAGUAACUGUUCAUCCCUUGACGGUAUCUAACCAGAAAGCCACGGCUAACUACGUGCCAGCAGCCGCGGUAAUACGUAGGUGGCAAGCGUUGUCCGGAUUUAUUGGGCGUAAAGCGAGCGCAGGCGCGUUAUCUUAAGUCAUGAUGCUGAAAGCCCCCGGCUCAACCGGGGAGGGUCAUUGGAAACUGGGAGACUUGAGUGCAGAAGAGGAGAGUGGAAUUCCAUGUGUAGCGGUGAAAUGCGUAGAUAUAUGGAGGAACACCAGUGGCGAAGGCGGCUCUCUGGUCUGUAACUGACGCUGAGGCUCGAAAGCGUGGGGAGCAAACAGGAUUAGAUACCCUGGUAGUCCACGCCGUAAACGAUGAGUGCUAAGUGUUGGAGGGUUUCCGCCCUUCAGUGCUGCAGCUAACGCAUUAAGCACUCCGCCUGGGGAGUACGACCGCAAGGUUGAAACUCAAAGGAAUUGACGGGGGCCCGCACAAGCGGUGGAGCAUGUGGUUUAAUUCGAAGCAACGCGAAGAACCUUACCAGGUCUUGACAUCCUUUGACCACUCUAGAGAUAGAGCUUCCCCUUCGGGGGCAAAGUGACAGGUGGUGCAUGGUUGUCGUCAGCUCGUGUCGUGAGAUGUUGGGUUAAGUCCCGCAACGAGCGCAACCCUUAUUGUUAGUUGCCAUCAUUUAGUUGGGCACUCUAGCAAGACUGCCGGUGACAAACCGGAGGAAGGUGGGGAUGACGUCAAAUCAUCAUGCCCCUUAUGACCUGGGCUACACACGUGCUACAAUGGGAAGUACAACGAGUCGCAAAGUCGCGAGGCUAAGCUAAUCUCUUAAAGCUUCUCUCAGUUCGGAUUGUAGGCUGCAACUCGCCUACAUGAAGCCGGAAUCGCUAGUAAUCGCGGAUCAGCACGCCGCGGUGAAUACGUUCCCGGGCC